Molecule: ribosomal RNA, 429 nt
Filed under: Arthrobacter sp.
Lineage: Bacteria; Bacillati; Actinomycetota; Actinomycetes; Micrococcales; Micrococcaceae
Description: bacterial SSU rRNA
Rfam family: Bacterial small subunit ribosomal RNA
Source: RNAcentral
GGCUCAGGAUGAACGCUGGCGGCGUGCUUAACACAUGCAAGUCGAACGAUGAUCCCCAGCUUGCUGGGGUGAUUAGUGGCGAACGGGUGAGUAACACGUGAGUAACCUGCCCUUAACUCUGGGAUAAGCCUGGGAAACUGGGUCUAAUACCGGAUAUGACUUCUCAUCGCAUGGUGGGGGGUGGAAAGCUUUUUGUGGUUUUGGAUGGACUCGCGGCCUAUCAGCUUGUUGGUGAGGUAAUGGCUUACCAAGGCGACGACGGGUAGCCGGCCUGAGAGGGUGACCGGCCACACUGGGACUGAGACACGGCCCAGACUCCUACGGGAGGCAGCAGUGGGGAAUAUUGCACAAUGGGCGCAAGCCUGAUGCAGCGACGCCGCGUGAGGGAUGACGGCCUUCGGGUUGUAAACCUCUUUCAGUAGGGAAGAA